This 1072-nucleotide ribosomal RNA is filed under the name Leotiomycetes sp. genotype 521. RNAcentral describes it as "eukaryotic LSU rRNA". The stretch from base 488 to 1072 matches the Rfam family "Eukaryotic large subunit ribosomal RNA", at positions 1 to 597 of the family's 3401-position model. Lineage: Eukaryota; Fungi; Ascomycota; Leotiomycetes. The record is from RNAcentral.
GAUCAUUACAAGUGAAGCCGCCGAACGCUGGAAACAGCGGUCAGGGGCUUACACCCACCCGUGUCUAUAUACUCUUGUUGCUUUGGCGGGCCGUGGCCUCCACUGCGGGCUCUGCUCGUGUGUGCCCGCCAGAGGACCAAACUCUGAAUGUCAGUGAUGUCUGAGUACUAUAUAAUAGUUAAAAACUUUCAACAACGGAUCUCUUGGUUCUGGCAUCGAUGAAGAACGCAGCGAAAUGCGAUAAGUAAUGUGAAUUGCAGAAUUCAGUGAAUCAUCGAAUCUUUGAACGCACAUUGCGCCCUGUGGUAUUCCGCAGGGCAUGCCUGCUCGAGCGUCAUUUAACCACUCACGCCUGGCGUGGUAUUGGGGCACGCGGUCUCGCGGCCCUCAAAACCAGUGGCGGCGCCGGUGGGCUCUAAGCGUAGUACAUACUCCCGCUAUAGAGUCCCCCCGGCGGCUUGCCAGAACCCCCCCAAUUUUUACAGGUUGACCUCGGAUCAGGUAGGGAUACCCGCUGAACUUAAGCAUAUCAAUAAGCGGAGGAAAAGAAACCAACAGGGAUUACCUCAGUAACGGCGAGUGAAGCGGUAACAGCUCAAAUUUGAAAGCUGCCAACAGGCCGCGUUGUAAUUUGUAGAAGCUGCUUUGGGUAUCGGCCCGUUCUAAGUUCCUUGGAACAGGACGUCAUAGAGGGUGAGAAUCCCGUAUGUGAUCGGUGCCGGUGCCCGUGUAAAGCGCUUUCGACGAGUCGAGUUGUUUGGGAAUGCAGCUCAAAAUGGGUGGUAAAUUUCAUCUAAAGCUAAAUAUUGGCCAGAGACCGAUAGCGCACAAGUAGAGUGAUCGAAAGAUGAAAAGCACUUUGGAAAGAGAGUUAAACAGUACGUGAAAUUGUUGAAAGGGAAGCGCUUGCAACCAGACUUGCGGGCGGUCGAUCAUCCGAGGUUCUCCCCGGUGCACUCGAUCGUUCUCAGGCCAGCAUCGGUUUCCGGGGUGGGAUAAAGGCGGUGGGAAUGUGGCUCUUCGGAGUGUUAUAGCCCAUCGUGCAAUGCCGCCACCGGGGACCGAGGACCGC